GAUGAACGCUGGCGGAGUGCCUAAUACAUGCAAGUCGAGCGGCAGCGCGAGUAGUUUACUACUUGGCGGCGAGCGGCGGACGGCUGAGUAACGCGUGGGAACGUGCCCCAAAGUGAGGAAUAACUGCCCGAAAGGGUAGCUAAUGCCGCAUAUGGUCUUUGGAUUAAAGGAUUUAUCCGCUUUGGGAGCGGCCCGCGUCAGAUUAGGUUGUUGGUGAGGUAAAGGCUCACCAAGCCGACGAUCUGUAGCUGGUCUGAGAGGAUGAUCAGCCAGACUGGGACUGAGACACGGCCCAGACUCCUACGGGAGGCAGCAGUAAGGAAUCUUCCACAAUGGACGAAAGUCUGAUGGAGCAACUCCGCGUGCAGGAUGAAGGCCUUCGGGUUGUAAACUGCUUUUAUUUGUGAAGAAUAUGACGGUAACAAAUGAAUAAGGGUCGGCUAACUACGUGCCAGCAGCCGCGGUAA
RNAcentral lists this ribosomal RNA (467 nucleotides) under uncultured bacterium. RNAcentral describes it as "partial 16S ribosomal RNA". It matches the Rfam family "Bacterial small subunit ribosomal RNA", at positions 28 to 523 of the family's 1533-position model. The record is from RNAcentral.